GACAGAACAUAACCCAGCUGGAGGGUUCCAUCCCAAGAAGGGGAUCACCAACAGACCUGAAUAGGGUUUGGUGGAGGUGACUGGAGAAAGCCCCUGCAAUGUGGUGCCCAGCCAUGAGGGGGUAUGUGAGUGGAUUUACACCUGGAUACUCAUCUGUGCCUACAGCUUCUUGACAAUCGCAUCGCACACAAAUUGCCAUAACAAAUCAAAAAAUGGCCCGUCUGCUCCAGUAUCCUGGUAGCCAACACCAGAUGAUUCAGAAAAAAGCUUCAAGUGCAAUAGGACCCAAGCCCUGACUGAGGCCUUUGGUAUCUACUUGAAUACUACCGGUUUUCAUCUGUUUCCCGGCCAUCCAUCCAUCCAUCCACCCACCCAACCAUCUACAUAACAAUCCAUCUUUCGCUCCUUCAUCCCUCCCAUCAAGCUACCAUCCCAUCCACGCAGAUUUCUCCUUCCAUAUUAAUGACUCC
This is a long non-coding RNA of Mauremys mutica (yellowpond turtle), 470 nucleotides long. RefSeq lists it as uncharacterized. The record is from RefSeq and is a predicted model, not a curated record. Lineage: Eukaryota; Metazoa; Chordata; Testudines; Geoemydidae. The transcript is spliced from 4 exons.